AUACGGAGGGUGCGAGCGUUAAUCGGAAUUACUGGGCGUAAAGCGUGCGUAGGCGGUUUGUUAAGUCAGAAGUGAAAGCCCUGGGCUCAACCUGGGAACGGCUUUUGAGACUGGCAGACUCGAGUUGAGUAGAGGGGAGUGGAAUUUCCGGUGUAGCGGUGAAAUGCGUAGAGAUCGGAAGGAACACCAGUGGCGAAGGCGACUCCCUGGACUCAAACUGACGCUGAGGUACGAAAGCGUGGGUAGCAAACAGGAUUAGAAACACCAGUAGUCC
This 274-nucleotide ribosomal RNA is filed under the name uncultured bacterium. RNAcentral's name for it is "partial 16S ribosomal RNA". It matches the Rfam family "Bacterial small subunit ribosomal RNA", at positions 523 to 796 of the family's 1533-position model. The record is from RNAcentral.